Molecule: microRNA precursor, 54 nt
Filed under: Sus scrofa (pig)
Lineage: Eukaryota; Metazoa; Chordata; Mammalia; Artiodactyla; Suidae
Description: SNORD25
Source: RNAcentral
AUGAGGACCUUUUCACAGACCUGUACUGAGCUCCGUGAGGAUAAGGAACUCUGA